Molecule: ribosomal RNA, 433 nt
Filed under: uncultured bacterium
Lineage: Bacteria
Description: partial 16S ribosomal RNA
Rfam family: Bacterial small subunit ribosomal RNA
Source: RNAcentral
AACGAACGCUGGCGGCAUGCCUAACACAUGCAAGUCGAACGAGACCUUCGGGUCUAGUGGCGCACGGGUGCGUAACGCGUGGGAACCUGCCUUUAGGUUCGGAAUAACUCAGAGAAAUUUGAGCUAAUACCGGAUGAUGUCUUCGGACCAAAGAUUUAUCGCCUUUAGAUGGGCCCGCGUUGGAUUAGCUAGUUGGUGGGGUAAAGGCCUACCAAGGCGACGAUCCAUAGCUGGUCUGAGAGGAUGAUCAGCCACACUGGGACUGAGACACAGCCCAGACUCCUACGGGAGGCAGCAGUGGGGAAUAUUGGGCAAUGGGCGAAAGCCUGAUCCAGCAAUGCCGCGUGAGUGAUGAAGGCCUUAGGGUUGUAAAGCUCUUUUACCCGAGAUGAUAAUGACAGUAUCGGGAGAAUAAGCUCCGGCUAACUCCGUG